Molecule: transfer RNA, 96 nt
Filed under: Lodderomyces parapsilosis
Lineage: Eukaryota; Fungi; Ascomycota; Pichiomycetes; Serinales; Debaryomycetaceae
Also listed under: 1 other name
Description: tRNA-Tyr
Rfam family: tRNA
About the family: Transfer RNA (tRNA) molecules are approximately 80 nucleotides in length.
Source: RNAcentral
CUCCUGGUAGCUUAGUUGGUUUAAAGCACAAGACUGUAAUUUACUAUACCAGAUUUUGUAAUCUUGGGAUCGGGCGUUCGACUCGCCCCCGGGAGA